GGACAAUUAGCUCAGCUGGUUAGAGCGUUCGCUUCACACGCGAAAGGUCAGAGGUUCGAAUCCUCUAUUGUCCACCA
Molecule: transfer RNA, 77 nt
Filed under: Chlorobiales bacterium
Lineage: Bacteria; Pseudomonadati; Chlorobiota; Chlorobiia; Chlorobiales
Description: tRNA-Val
Rfam family: tRNA
About the family: Transfer RNA (tRNA) molecules are approximately 80 nucleotides in length. Their secondary structure includes four short double-helical elements and three loops (D, anti-codon, and T loops).
Source: RNAcentral